Molecule: unclassified non-coding RNA, 211 nt
Filed under: plant metagenome
Description: partial contains small subunit ribosomal RNA and internal transcribed spacer 1
Rfam family: Eukaryotic small subunit ribosomal RNA (bases 1-46)
Source: RNAcentral
AAGUCGUAACAAGGUUUCCGUAGGUGAACCUGCGGAAGGAUCAUUAAAGAGAUUUCCUUGCCCUCUUGGGUAGACCUUCAACCCUUUGUAUAUCAUAACCAUUGUUGCUUUGGCAGGCCCGUCUCCGACCGCCGGUGUACUCUGGCCGGCGCCUGCCAGAGGAUCCAAACUCUGAAUAUAUGUAGUCCGAGCAACUUUAAAACAGUUAAAA